GCAGCAGCCGCGGUAAUACGUAGGGUGCAAGCGUUAAUCGGAAUUACUGGGCGUAAAGCGUGCGCAGGCGGUUAUAUAAGACAGAUGUGAAAUCCCCGGGCUCAACCUGGGAACUGCAUUUGUGACUGUAUAGCUAGAGUACGGCAGAGGGGGAUGGAAUUCCGCGUGUAGCAGUGAAAUGCGUAGAUAUGCGGAGGAACACCGAUGGCGAAGGCAAUCCCCUGGGCCUGUACUGACGCUCAUGCACGAAAGCGUGGGGAGCAAACAGGAUUAGAUACCCCAGUAGUCCCUGUCUCUUAUA
This 301-nucleotide ribosomal RNA is filed under the name uncultured bacterium. Its description in RNAcentral is "partial 16S ribosomal RNA". It matches the Rfam family "Bacterial small subunit ribosomal RNA", at positions 508 to 808 of the family's 1533-position model. The record is from RNAcentral.